This 253-nucleotide ribosomal RNA is filed under the name uncultured bacterium. Its description in RNAcentral is "partial 16S ribosomal RNA". It matches the Rfam family "Archaeal small subunit ribosomal RNA", at positions 474 to 727 of the family's 1478-position model. The record is from RNAcentral.
UACCAGCACCCCGAGUGGUCGGGGCGAUUAUUGGGCCUAAAGCCUCCGUAGCCGGCCUUACAAGUCCUCCGUUAAAUCCAGCUGCUUAACAGAUGGGCUGCGGAGGAUACUAUAAGACUAGGAGGCAGGAGAGGCAAGCGGUACUCAGUGGGUAGGGGUAAAAUCCGUUGAUCCAUUGAAGACCACCAGUGGCGAAGGCGGCUUGCCAGAAUGCGCUCGACGGUGAGGGAUGAAAGCUGGGGGAGCAAACCGG